RNAcentral lists this ribosomal RNA (500 nucleotides) under uncultured bacterium. RNAcentral's name for it is "partial 16S ribosomal RNA". It matches the Rfam family "Bacterial small subunit ribosomal RNA", at positions 30 to 523 of the family's 1533-position model. The record is from RNAcentral.
AUUGAACGCUGGCGGCAUGCCUUACACAUGCAAGUCGAACGGCAGCACGGGAGCAAUCCUGGUGGCGAGUGGCGAACGGGUGAGUAAUAUAUCGGAACGUGCCCAGUAGUGGGGGAUAGCCCGGCGAAAGCCGGAUUAAUACCGCAUACGACCUACGGGUGAAAGCGGGGGAUCGCAAGACCUCGCGCUAUUGGAGCGGCCGAUAUCAGAUUAGCUAGUUGGUGGGGUAAAGGCCUACCAAGGCGACUAUCUGUAGCUGGUCUGAGAGGACGACCAGCCACACUGGGACUGAGACACGGCCCAGACUCCUACGGGAGGCAGCAGUGGGGAAUUUUGGACAAUGGGCGCAAGCCUGAUCCAGCCAUGCCGCGUGUGGGAAGAAGGCCUUCGGGUUGUAAACCACUUUUGUCAGGGAAGAAACGGCUCUUACUAAUAUUAGGAGCUAAUGACGGUACCUGAAGAAUAAGCACCGGCUAACUACGUGCCAGCCGCCGCCGUAA